GCUAAACGCGAAGAACCUUACCUACCCUUGACAUCCUGCGAACCCUGGUGAGAGCUAGGGGUGCCGAAAGGAGCGCAGAGACAGGUGCUGCAUGGCUGUCGUCAGCUCGUGUUGUGAGAUGUUGGGUUAAGUCCCGUAACGAGCGCAACCCUUGUCCUUAGUUGCCAGCAAGUAAAGUUGGGGACUCUAAGGAGACUGCCGGUGAGGAACCGGAGGAAGGCGGGGACGACGUCAAGUCAUCAUGGCCUUUAUGGGCAGGGCUACACACGUGCUACAAUGGCAAGUACAGAGGGAAGCCAACCCGCGAGGGGGAGCCAAUCCCAGAAAGCUUGUCUUAGUCCGGAUUGCAGUCUGCAACUCGACUGCAUGAAGUUGGAAUCGCUAGUAAUCGCAGAUCAGCAUUGCUGCGGUGAAUACGUUCCCGGGUCUUGUACACACCG
RNAcentral lists this ribosomal RNA (440 nucleotides) under uncultured bacterium. RNAcentral's name for it is "bacterial SSU rRNA". It matches the Rfam family "Bacterial small subunit ribosomal RNA", at positions 954 to 1392 of the family's 1533-position model. The record is from RNAcentral.